Molecule: ribosomal RNA, 301 nt
Filed under: uncultured bacterium
Lineage: Bacteria
Description: partial 16S ribosomal RNA
Rfam family: Bacterial small subunit ribosomal RNA
Source: RNAcentral
CAGUAGCCGCGGGAAUACGAAGGGGGCUAGCGUUGCUCGGAAUUACUGGGCGUAAAGGGCGCGUAGGCGGACAGUUCAGUCGGGGGUGAAAGCCCGGGGCUCAACCUCGGAAUUGCCUUCGAUACUGGCUGUCUUGAGUAUGAGAGAGGUGUGUGGAACCCCGAGUGUAGAGGUGAAAUUCGUAGAUAUUCGGAAGAACACCAGUGGCGAAGGCGACACACUGGCUCAUUACUGACGCUGAGGCGCGAAAGCGUGGGGAGCAAACAGGAUUAGAUACCCCCGUAGUCCCUGUCUCUUAUAC